UGGUUCGGUCCGGAGUCAAUGGGUUAUCCCAUUACGAACUACCCCAUUGACACCAACUUGACCGUUGU
This 68-nucleotide small RNA is filed under the name Caenorhabditis remanei. Its description in RNAcentral is "Nematode sRNA ceN72-3_ceN74-2". It matches the Rfam family "Nematode sRNA ceN72-3_ceN74-2". Lineage: Eukaryota; Metazoa; Nematoda; Chromadorea; Rhabditida; Rhabditidae. The record is from Rfam by way of RNAcentral.